This 447-nucleotide ribosomal RNA is filed under the name uncultured soil bacterium. RNAcentral's name for it is "bacterial SSU rRNA". It matches the Rfam family "Bacterial small subunit ribosomal RNA", at positions 26 to 518 of the family's 1533-position model. The record is from RNAcentral.
AGAGCGAACGCUGGCGGCAGGCCUAACACAUGCAAGUCGAACGGACUCUUCGGAGUUAGUGGCGGACGGGUGAGUAACACGUGGGAACGUGCCUUUUGGUUCGGAAUAGCUCCUGGAAACGGGUGGUAAUGCCGAAUGUGCCCUUCGGGGGAAAGAUUUAUCGCCAUUAGAGCGGCCCGCGUCUGAUUAGCUAGUUGGUGAGGUAAAGGCUCACCAAGGCGACGAUCAGUAGCUGGUCUGAGAGGAUGACCAGCCACAUUGGGACUGAGACACGGCCCAAACUCCUACGGGAGGCAGCAGUGGGGAAUCUUGCGCAAUGGGCGAAAGCCUGACGCAGCCAUGCCGCGUGAAUGAUGAAGGUCUAGGAUUAGUAAAAUUCUUUCACCGGGGACGAUAAUGACGGUACCCGGAAGAAGAAGCCCGGACUAACUCGUGCCAGCAGCCGAC